GAAAUCGCUGAGAUUGGGUUCAGUAGUGGAGAUCUCCCUUUUAUAGAGAGCUGAUGGGUGGUGGAAAUCAGCAUAUAGAUACUCCGUGAAUUACGUCCAUGAGCUUCUUUUUUGAAAAGGUCAACUGAGUAGAAAAAGACGGUUUAACCGUUAGAUUACCGAGUGAGGAUUAUUUGUGUUUUAAUCCUAAGUAGGGUGGUACCGCGAAUAUUUCGCCCCUUCA
Molecule: non-coding RNA, 223 nt
Filed under: Metabacillus litoralis
Lineage: Bacteria; Bacillati; Bacillota; Bacilli; Caryophanales; Bacillaceae
Description: Bacillus litoralis T-box sequence
Rfam family: T-box leader
About the family: Uncharged tRNA acts as the effector for transcription antitermination of genes in the T-box leader family. T-boxes are found upstream of many aminoacyl-tRNA synthetase genes and some amino acid biosynthetic genes usually in Gram-positive bacteria. The anticodon of a specific tRNA base pairs to a specifier sequence within the T-box motif, and the NCCA acceptor tail of the tRNA base pairs to a conserved bulge in the T-box antiterminator hairpin.
Source: RNAcentral